UAACUCAAUUGGUUAGAGCAUGGUGCUGGUAACACCAAGGUCGCGGGUUCGAUUCACGU
RNAcentral lists this transfer RNA (59 nucleotides) under Apaloderma vittatum (bar-tailed trogon). It matches the Rfam family "tRNA", at positions 8 to 63 of the family's 71-position model. From Rfam's summary of the family: Transfer RNA (tRNA) molecules are approximately 80 nucleotides in length. Lineage: Eukaryota; Metazoa; Chordata; Aves; Trogoniformes; Trogonidae. The record is from Rfam by way of RNAcentral.